Molecule: ribosomal RNA, 508 nt
Filed under: uncultured bacterium
Lineage: Bacteria
Description: bacterial SSU rRNA
Rfam family: Bacterial small subunit ribosomal RNA
Source: RNAcentral
CGAACGCUGGCAGCGUGGAUAGGCAUGCAAGUCGAACGGGAUCCGGAAGGUAGCAAUAUCGGCCGGUGAGAGUGGCGGAAGGGCGAGGAACACGUGGGCAACCUGUCUCUGAGGUGGGGAAAAACCGUUGGAAACGACGGCUAAUACCGAAUGUAGCGCCCGCUCGCAUGAGCGGAGCGCCAAAGGGGGGCGAAAGCUCCCCCUCUCCGAGGGGCCCGCGCACCAUCAGCUUGUUGGCGGGGUAACGGCCCACCAAGGCUCACGGUUAGCUGGUCUGAGAGGAUGGCCAGCCGCACUGGGACUGAGAUACUGCCCAGACUCCUACGGGAGGCUGCAGUCGAGGAUCAUUUGCAAUGGGCGAAAGCCUGACAAUGCGACGCUGCGUGGAGGAUGAAGGCCCUCGGGUUGUAAACUCCUGUCAUGGGGGAAAAGGAAAAGGGACCCAACACGUCCCCGAUUUGAUGGUACCCCAAGAGGAAGCGACGGCUAACUCUGUGCCAGCAGCGGC